This 447-nucleotide ribosomal RNA is filed under the name uncultured bacterium. RNAcentral's name for it is "bacterial SSU rRNA". It matches the Rfam family "Bacterial small subunit ribosomal RNA", at positions 329 to 793 of the family's 1533-position model. The record is from RNAcentral.
UUCCAGACUCCUACGGGAGGCAGCAGUGGGGAAUAUUGCACAAUGGGGGAAACCCUGAUGCAGCGACGCCGCGUGAGCGAUGAAGUAUUUCGGUAUGUAAAGCUCUAUCAGCAGGGAAGAAAAUGACGGUACCUGACUAAGAAGCCCCGGCUAACUACGUGCCAGCAGCCGCGGUAAUACGUAGGGGGCAAGCGUUAUCCGGAUUUACUGGGUGUAAAGGGAGCGUAGACGGCUGUGCAAGCCAGAUGUGAAAGCCCGGGGCUCAACCCCGGGACUGCAUUUGGAACUGUGUGGCUGGAGUGUCGGAGAGGCAGGCGGAAUUCCUAGUGUAGUGGUGAAAUGCGUAGAUAUUAGGAGGAACACCAGUGGCGAAGGCGGCCUGCUGGACGAUGACUGACGUUGAGGCUCGAAAGCGUGGGGAGCAAACAGGAUUAGAUACCCUCGUAC